GACAGAUGGCCAUGUGUUAAGUACAUCCCUCAUGCCCUGUAGAGAAGGUGGGACCUCUGGGCUGAUCUUUAAGGUUUGUCUCCUGCCCUCCAAGGAAUGGGAUACCAUAAGGCUAAGAUUUAUCCCUAGUGCUGUGAUUUUUUUAAAAUCCAUUUCCCCACACUUCAGAAUUUUAUUGCUUCAAAGAGGCUCGUGAAAUCCUUAGAAAAAUACUUGCCAAGGAGGCUAAGUUUGUUUUAUUCAAUAGGUUAGAAGAAAUUGGGGCAGCACUUGAUACAGCAAGACAACAUCCGGAGGCUUUGGUGACUGGUGUGACCUGUGGUGUGAGUCAGUGGGUGACCAUGUGUCUUUGUAACACUGACUGGAGAAACAUGGGGUUGAGUUAGGGGGAAGCAGGGGCUCCUUUCCUGGGCCUGACCAGCAGCUGUUGAGCAUAUUGUGUCUUAUCUUCACCACCUUGUCACAGUGUCCCGCAGUGUCACAGAGGGAUGUCUUAACAUCUUCAUUACAUUGAGUUCCCAGGGCCAGUGUCAAAGCACCAGGAAGAUCAGAGGGCGGGAAGAUGUGGGCUGGAGAGACAGCAAGCGGGCCCAGAGCAGCAGCACUGAGUUGCCAUUGCUGGCUGGAGCUGGGGCUGCCUGGUGUGUUUAGCAGGGCA
Molecule: long non-coding RNA, 658 nt
Filed under: Mus pahari (shrew mouse)
Lineage: Eukaryota; Metazoa; Chordata; Mammalia; Rodentia; Muridae
Description: predicted gene 17105 (MGP_PahariEiJ_G0033067.1)
Source: RNAcentral